CGGGUGGGUGGUUUUCAAAGGGAGUCGCCCCUGGUCCUUUUGCUACUUAGCUGCAUGGUAUUCCGUUACGUGGCUGUCCCAUCGUUUUUUAACCAAUCUCUUAAUGAUGGACAAUUGAGUGGUUUCUGCUCUUUUUGUUAUCAACAAUGUUGCAGUAAAUAACUGUGGAUUUGUUAUUCCACACUAAAUCUUGUUGCUGCUCAGUCAUUGGGUCUGCACUGCCUUUAUGAGCUGUAACACUCACUGUGAGAGUCUGUAGUUUCACUCCCGAGGCCAGUGAGACCCUGAACCCACCAGAAGGAAGAAACUCCAAACACGUCCGAACAUCAGAAGGAAGGAACAAACUCCGGACAUGCCUCACUGCAAGGGUCACCGGCUUCAUUCUUGAAGUCAGUGAGACCAAGAACCCACCAAUUCUGGACACAAUAUAAUCCUCAUUCUUCCUCCUUGAAUAUGCAGUUUACUGUGGCACACACAUUCCCACUGCAAUGCUCUAUUCCUGAAUAAAUAUCUUUUUCUUUUAGAGAGCCUUUCUCUGUUAUUUAGGUUGACAGUUUUUAACUGUCUUUUAGUAUAUCUUUGAAAUUUUGGUUGAAAGCUGGACAUGAUGUAUAUGAUAGUAGGACCUGAAGUAAAUCGGCCUUAUUGUGUGAGGUUUUAUGUUAAUCUGACUAGUAGCUGGGCCGUGUUUAAUGUUUCCUAUAGCUGUAGGUGCCAGAAACUUUAGUUUCCUCUAGUUUCAGGUAUUUUUUUUUCUCUUCUGUUUUGACUUUCCCUGAGAACUCUUAUUAUUUUUUUUGAGAUGGAGUUUUGCUCUUGUUGCGCAGGCUGGAGGGCAGUGGCGCCAUCUUGGCUCACUGCAACUUCUGCCUCCCAGGGUCAAGCAGUUCUCCUGCUUUUCCUGAGUAGCUGGGAUUACAGGUCCC
RNAcentral lists this long non-coding RNA (926 nucleotides) under Homo sapiens (human). Its description in RNAcentral is "HSALNT0048558". Lineage: Eukaryota; Metazoa; Chordata; Mammalia; Primates; Hominidae. The record is from RNAcentral.